This is a long non-coding RNA of Cyprinus carpio carpio, 846 nucleotides long. Lineage: Eukaryota; Metazoa; Chordata; Actinopteri; Cypriniformes; Cyprinidae. The record is from Ensembl.
AUAAUUUUGACGUGGUGUUGUAUAUUGCUGUGGGCUGCUGUGUAUUGCCGUGUGUCCUGUCAGAUAAACUCCCGCCUUCACGCACUUCGUCGCGGGAGGACAAGGAGACUGCUGGUCCUAGCCUAGUUCAGUACAGUAUAUGUUGUGAGCGUGCUUCAGAUCUCCGGAGAUAGCACGGUACGCUGUGUCCAGCCCAGAGGUGAAAGCCAUCCAAAGCAGAGUAACUGUGCUUUGUGCCCAAGUUGAUACCUGUGGAGAGGAAAGGAAAGAGAGAGUGAGUAACACAAGGAGAACCAGAGGGAACCUGUACUUACAGUACGCUGUGUUCAGCCCAGAGUUGAUACCUGUGGAGAGAAAAGGAGAGAGAGUGGGUAACACGAGGAGAGACCGAGGAAACCUGUACUUACGCCGCUGCCUGUGGAGAAAGAGAAAGCGAGUGAGCACCCAAGGAACGAACUGUGUGAACCAGUACUUACUGUGAGCUGUAAUCAGCGAAGAGCCGUUGCCUGUGGAGGAAGAGAAAGAGUGAGCACCUCGAGAACGAACUGUGUGAACCAGUACUUACCGUGAGCUGUAUUCAGCGAAGAGGAGGAAGAAGGAGGGCGCUACGGAUACCUAAGACUCAGGCCGGGGCCCGAGUCCCACGCCCCGGAUCCCCGUGGCCCCCUUGCUCCCUGACCUCUUCCCGGCCAUAGCCCAUCUGGAGGGCCGAGUCAGAGUUUAGUUUUAAUUGCCCUUUCCCUAUUCCCCAAGCUAUUUUUAAAUAUUUAAAUAAAGAUUGUUUUAUCACUUACUUGUUCUCGUGUUGUUUGGCCAUUGGGUUGGCUUUGGGGACCUCCUCGAGGU